This 470-nucleotide ribosomal RNA is filed under the name uncultured organism. RNAcentral describes it as "partial 16S ribosomal RNA". It matches the Rfam family "Bacterial small subunit ribosomal RNA", at positions 335 to 797 of the family's 1533-position model. The record is from RNAcentral.
ACUCCUGCGGGAGGCAGCAGUGGGGAAUUUUGGACAAUGGGCGAAAGCCUGAUCCAGCAAUGCCGCGUGAGUGAAGAAGGCCUUCGGGUUGUAAAGCUCUUUUGUCAGGGAAGAAACGGUGAAAGCUAAUAUCUUUUGCUAAUGACGGUACCUGAAGAAUAAGCACCGGCUAACUACGUGCCAGCAGCCGCGGUAAUACGUAGGGUGCAAGCGUUAAUCGGAAUUACUGGGCGUAAAGCGUGCGCAGGCGGUUUUGUAAGUCUGAUGUGAAAUCCCCGGGCUCAACCUGGGAAUUGCAUUGGAGACUGCAAGGCUAGAAUCUGGCAGAGGGGGGUAGAAUUCCACGUGUAGCAGUGAAAUGCGUAGAUAUGUGGAGGAACACCGAUGGCGAAGGCAGCCCCCUGGGUCAAGAUUGACGCUCAUGCACGAAAGCGUGGGGAGCAAACAGGAUUAGAUACCCGAGUAGUCCC